Oncorhynchus tshawytscha (Chinook salmon) is the source of this 1152-nucleotide long non-coding RNA. NCBI's taxonomy places the organism in Eukaryota, Metazoa, Chordata, Actinopteri, Salmoniformes, Salmonidae. The record is from Ensembl.
UACAUUUUCCAUCAUUAUUGAAUUUAUUGAAGAAGAAAAUAAGGAGAUAUCAGGAAUAAACAGCAGAGACACAGGACAGUAUAUUCAGGGAGACUCAUGGGAACCCAGGAGCAGUUACACGCUUUUAGUGGUUUCGGUCCGACUGUAGUCUGCCUUCCACAGUGGAUUACAGCUCCUUCAAUACCAGAGUGUUGAAUUAGAAAGACAACUCUCCAUUCUGAUGAAACCACAAAUUAUACAGAGAAAAAAAACUGGACGUUUAACAAUUCUCUCGAUUCAUAAAAUGUCUCAAUUCUGACACAACCAUCUAAAAAGAAAACAGUUAACUGUAGUUUAUUAAAAGUGCCGUUAGCUAAAACAAAUUGCCCCUCAUCAAUGACGACACAGAUAUUGACCAUUUUGAAUACCACAUUCACGCUCAGAUCCAAUAUGGAUCAAAUCAUUCACGCAUUCAUUUCCUGGUCAAAUCAUUCAUUUCCUGGUCAAAUCAUCCCAUUUCCUGGUUUCUCCACAAGACAAAAACUGGCCACAUUUCUGUUUUCCACUAUUGAUCAUUAUAACAGAAUGUGAAGUCACUAAGGCACCACUGAUCAUUAUAACAGAAUGUGAUGUCACUAAGGCACCGCGCUGAUCAUUAUAACAGAAUGUGAAGUCACCACUGAUCAUUAUAACAGAAUGUGAUGUCACUAAGGCACCGCGCUGAUCAUUAUAACAGAAUGUGAAGUCACCACUGAUCAUUAUAACAGAAUGUGAAGUCACCACUGAUCAUUAUAACAGAAUGUGAUGUCACUAAGGCACCGCGCUGAUCAUUAUAACAGAAUGUGAUGUGAUGAUCAUUAUAACAGAAUGUGAAGUCACCACUGAUCAUUAUAACAGAAUGUGAUGUCACUAAGGCACCACUGAUCAUUAUAACAGAAUGAUGUCACUAAGGCACCACUGAUCAUUAUAACAGAAUGUGAUGUCACUAAGGCACCACUGAUCAUUAUAACAGAAUGUGAUGUCACUAAGGCACCACUGAUCAUUAUAACAGAAUGUGAUGUCACUAAGGCACCACUGAUCAUUAUAACAGAAUGAUGUCACUAAGGCACCACUGAUCAUUAUAACAGAAUGUGAUGUCACUAAGGCACCACUGAUCAUUAUAACAGAAUGUGA